This 494-nucleotide ribosomal RNA is filed under the name uncultured bacterium. Its description in RNAcentral is "partial 16S ribosomal RNA". It matches the Rfam family "Bacterial small subunit ribosomal RNA", at positions 28 to 507 of the family's 1533-position model. The record is from RNAcentral.
GACGAACGCUGGCGGCGUGCUUGACACAUGCAAGUCGAACGGAAAGGCCUGCUUUCCCUUGUGGAUUGCGGGUACUCGAGUGGCGAACGGGUGAGUAACACGUGAGUGAUCUGCCCCCAACUUGGGUAUAAGCCUGGGAAACUGGGUCUAAUUCCCGAUAGGACUGCAGGGUGGUGCCUGUGGUGGAAAACGAUUUUCUAGUGGUUGGGGAUGAGCUCGCGGCCUAUCAGCUUGUUGGUGGGGUAAUGGCCUACCAAGGCGGCGACGGGUAGCCGGCCUGGGAGGGUGGACGGGCACAUUGGGACUGAGACACGGCCCAGACUCCUACGGGAGGCAGGAGUGGGGAAUAUUGCACAAGGGGCGGAAGCCUGAUGCAGCGACGCCGCGUGGGGGAUGACGGCCUUCGGGUUGUAAACUCCUUUCGACCGCGAGGAAGCCACCUGGUUGGAAGGGUGGUGACGGUAGUGGUAGAAGAAGCACCGGCUAACUACGUG